GACUUGCAGACAUAAAAAACAGACUGGCAGUUGCGAAGGGAGAAGAGAGGUGAGGGAGGAUUGGGAGUUUGAGAUUAGCAUAUGCAAACUAUUAUAUACAGAAUGGAUAAACAAGGAUCUGCAGUAUAGCACAGGAGGCUAUAUUAAACAGCCUAUGA
This is a long non-coding RNA of Phacochoerus africanus (Common warthog), 158 nucleotides long. RefSeq lists it as uncharacterized. The record is from RefSeq and is a predicted model, not a curated record. Lineage: Eukaryota; Metazoa; Chordata; Mammalia; Artiodactyla; Suidae. The transcript has 3 exons.